This 512-nucleotide ribosomal RNA is filed under the name uncultured bacterium. Its description in RNAcentral is "bacterial SSU rRNA". It matches the Rfam family "Bacterial small subunit ribosomal RNA", at positions 288 to 797 of the family's 1533-position model. The record is from RNAcentral.
GGUUCUGAGAGGAAGGCCCCCCACACUGGGACUGAGACACGGCCCAGACUCCUACGGGAGGCAGCAGUGAGGAAUAUUGGUCAAUGGGCGGAAGCCUGAACCAGCCAAGUCGCGUGAGGGAUUAAGGCCCUGCGGGUCGUAAACCUCUUUUGCCGGGGAGCAGUGGUCCGGACGCGUCCGGGCCGGGAGAGUACCCGGAGAAAAAGCAUCGGCUAACUCCGUGCCAGCAGCCGCGGUAAUACGGAGGAUGCGAGCGUUAUCCGGAUUUAUUGGGUUUAAAGGGUGCGUAGGCGGGCAUUUAAGCCGGCGGUCAAAUGUCGGGGCUCAACCCCGGCCUGCCGUCGGAACUGGGUGCCUUGAGUGGGCGAGAAGUAUGCGGAAUGCGUGGUGUAGCGGUGAAAUGCAUAGAUAUCACGCAGAACCCCGAUUGCGAAGGCAGCAUACCGGCGCCCUACUGACGCUGAGGCACGAAAGUGCGGGUAUCGAACAGGAUUAGAUACCCUGGUAGUCCG